Molecule: ribosomal RNA, 478 nt
Filed under: uncultured bacterium
Lineage: Bacteria
Description: SSU rRNA
Rfam family: Bacterial small subunit ribosomal RNA
Source: RNAcentral
AGGAUGAACGCUGGCGGCGUGCUUAACACAUGCAAGUCGAACGGUGAAAGAGAGCUUGCUCUCUGGAUCAGUGGCGAACGGGUGAGUAACACGUGAGUAACCUGCCCUUGACUCUGGGAUAAGCGUUGGAAACGACGUCUAAUACCGGAUAUGACCUCCGAAGGCAUCUUCUGGAGGUGGAAAGAAUUUCGGUCAAGGAUGGACUCGCGGCCUAUCAGCUAGUUGGUGAGGUAAUGGCCCACCAAGGCGACGACGGGUAGCCGGCCUGAGAGGGUGACCGGCCACGACUGGGACUGAGACACGGCCCAGACUCCUACGGGAGGCAGCAGUGGGGAAUAUUGCACAAUGGGCGCAAGCCUGAUGCAGCAACGCCGCGUGAGGGACGACGGCCUUCGGGUUGUAAACCUCUUUUAGUAGGGAAGAAGCGAAAGUGACGGUACCUGCAGAAAAGCACGGCUAACUACGUGCCAGCAGCCGC